Molecule: long non-coding RNA, 6152 nt
Organism: Ostrea edulis (European flat oyster)
Lineage: Eukaryota; Metazoa; Mollusca; Bivalvia; Ostreida; Ostreidae
Exons: 2
Source: RefSeq, a predicted model, not a curated record
UUCUCCAUUAAUCUCAAGUUGGUAAGGUGUACCCUUUCUACUCGUUACUAGUAAACAUUCUCUGCACAAGAAGAGUACGAUUCCCCAUUAAUCUAAGUUGGUAAGUUGUACUCUUUCGACUCGUUACUAGUAAGUAUUCUCUGUAUUCAGUUCAGUAGUUUUGUCCAUCAUGAGUCCUCUUGUCGUAUUUUAGUUUACUCCGAACGAUUAGAAUUUCGACCAAGUAUGGUAUAUAGAUAAGAGACCCCAACCUCCCUCCACAGAUGGCUACUAAAAAUUUAAUCAUCUAUUGUCAGUCACUAAACUUGAUGAAAAUUUGAAUGAAAUUCAUGAUGCGAGGUUGAUUUCAUCUUGUCCACAAACAAGUACACACGGGAUCGAAAAUAUAACCUCCUUGUUGGAGGUAAUGCUAAAUGCAUGUUAGAAUAUACGUUAAGAAAUGUCCAGUUAGACAUUAACAAGUUCAUUCAAUAUCAAGACAAUGUCCGUCUUCCUUCAAUCAUUUCUGUGCUUUGAAUAAUACUUUUCAGAAAAAUAAACGUCGAAAUUAAUAUCACAAGUGCUAUAAUUUAUUUAUCAUGAUAGUUGUUUUUGACAUAUUUUUCGUUGAAUAGCUGGACCACCUAGUACAGGAUGUCGCCUGGGCGACUGCUGACCUAUAUUUUCCCAUCAUGCCUCAGACAAAGAGCUUUUUAUUAAAUACUGUUUUACAAAUGCUUACAGUGGAAGUCAAGAUGUAUUUCUGCAUACCAAUUUAGCCAUCAGUAUAAAAGUAUAUUUAUGCUAAAAGAAAAACACUACAAAAUCCGUCUAUUUGCUUUUUCAUGAUCCCCAAACAUAUAAUAAAGCAGCGAUAAUGUUCUUCCCAAGCGCUGCCUUGUCGCUUUCUCACUAAUAAAUACGGUUUUUAUUGUGAGUAUGUUCUUUGGUUAAUAAUGGCGCACCAUAAAUGACUUUCAUUGAUAAAUAUUUACAUACCAUCACUUUUCUGCGUGACUUAUGUUUGAGGUUUUCCUGUUGUCUACAUUCCAAAAGAUAUCAUUUUAUUAUUUCUCUGUUGUUAAAUAGUUAGAUUCAGACUUGACAAAUUGAUAGCCAUGGCUCUGACAUGCUGUAUACAUCACAUCGCCAAUAUGUCAUACACUAGAACAUGUAUCAAUAUUUUGAACAGGUGUCAAAGUGCAGAUCGUCUUUUACACACAUUAACAAGCUUGGCAAUGGAAGCGACGAACGGACAACUAAAGCUGAUAGAGUGAAGAGGGUGGUCAUUCAUUUAUCAAAGUAUUAAAUACUUUACACUGUGUCAUUUGGUGUAACUUUAUGAGACCGAUGAAAGAGUGGUCUCUAGUUGUGUGAAGGUUCAAUGUAACAUGUCAUUUAAAGGGGGCUUUCUUUUUCGUGUCAAUGUCGAAAUGGACGAGGGAAGUUGUCAGGCUGUUCAGGAAUAACAUAUAGACUCCGACUUUCCAGAUAACAGCGGUUUGACAAACUUGCUGCCUUCAUGAACGAUUGUUUUUCAUCGCCGCCGAUGAGUGUGAAAAUACAAAAUGGAGCGGACAAGAGCUGUCGAGCCAUCGUUCUUAAAUGGCAGGCUCCGUAACAAAUAUCUGCAAUAAACCAGUAUAUAAAUGUUCCAACUUUUGAAUGAAGGCACAUGAGAAAGUCGUGCACUUUGCGGAUGUUCUUUGUGAUUCGACUAAGGAUAUUUAGUUUCCUCUUGUAAGGUUUCUUAAUUUUGAUUUUCUUUGGGAAUAGUUAUUUAUUUUGGCAUAUUUCGCAGGUAAGGAAGUGGUAAGGAUUCAUUUAUUUUUCAUAAAGCAGUGCACGGCAGAUGUGGCUGUAGAAUAAUUGCAAAUUGAGUUCUUCGACGAUUUGCUUGAAGCUAAUAGGCGCCUUGCGUCAUCAAUGCCUUUUUCCAAAUGGACGCAAAAGGGCCCAGAAUAGCGGCGCUGGUUGUAGUUUUUGUUUUAACACCACUGGUGCUAAGAGCUUUUUUGAUCAUUUAUUUCUUAUUAAACGAAAUCCUAUCUGUCUUAACGAAAUUUUAAUGAAGUAGCAUUACAGUAAAAGAAGUAAUAACAUGAAAUAAAUGAUACACCUGACACGUUCGAAGCUGAUAUUUUACGUUCAAUAUAAAUAUCGGUUACACAAGGAGUGAGAUAGCGCGUAAAUCAACAACCCGUUCAUGAAACAAGUCGUCUUCACGGACAAGACAAUAGCCAUACGACGUACUAACGGAGUUCUAAUGAACUGCAAAUCACCUGCAAAACUAAUUGAGAGUCUGUUGAAUGGCUUGAUAGAGCUACGACGUGACUAACCCCGUUAAAAAAUCUAAAGCAACAAAAAUAGUCGUGAGGAUGUUGCUGGUUUUUAAAAAUGUUUUUCUUUAGUAUGUUUUCUUAGUAUACAGAACACUCCUCCGAUUAUAAUACAAAUCCCCCUUUUUAAGUCAAUCUAUUAAUUUCAUUUUAUAUAGGCAAUGAUAUCAAGUUUUUAUCAUAAACAUUUGUUAAUUUUAUUCAUUUAGGACUCUCAAGAUAUUGUGAAAUAUUUAAACAAUAUGGAGAACUAUUUUCUGCUAUGUUCAUUGCAUCAGUACUGUUAUUUAUUAUAAAUUUGUAAUGUAUAUUCUUUGCAGAUGUAGUUCUGAAACAGUUGUAUUUCCACAAAAAUAUUAUUUGAAAUUAAAUCACUUUACAUAAAAUAAUUAUGCAAUAUUCAUUAUUGUAAAGAGAUUUCUAGAUCUGCAAAUCAAUUCGAAUAACAUUUUCCUUAGAAAAAUAACUUCAAGAAAAGAAAAUGAUUUUGUUAAAAUAAUUGCCAAAAUUGGAUACAUGUAAUAUGCUUUCCGUUUUCGAUUUCACGUAAUAUUUACCUCGGCAAGGGAGAAAAAAAUUCGAAAUAAUUAUUUCCGACUACUCAGUAACAUUCAAUCAUAAUUGGUACUUUUUAGAUACUUUUUAUUAUUUAGAGUUAGAUUGAUCUUGAGACACAUUGACACUGAUAACGAAUGAAUUCAACAUAUAAAAGCAAGAGUAUAAAUUCAACAUAAAGGCAUUUUUGAACGUACUAUACAAUAUUGACAAAGCACUGUCUUUUUCUCUGAAAUCAUUAAUUUGUUAAAUUGUAUUAACUUAUUUCGUCUCUUCAUAUCAAUAUUACAAAUAUAUUGAUACAACGAGUAUAUUUCUUUGUUUUCGAUUGGAUGUAAAUCUAAUGUUUUUAAAUUAAUCUGAACUCUUAUUUUACAUCACACGCAGUGCGUAUAACGGGAUAUAUUUGUAGAUAAAUGUUUUCGUGUAUGAUUAUGAUAUGCAAUUGAUAAAAUAAAACAUAUGCUGCUGAAUAUAUCUUGACCUUUAUGUUUCCGUAUGGAAGUGUUUCUAAUAAUUAUACUAUGUAAAUCGGCAUGCUUUCGACCUACUGAAUCAGAAGUUUCUUGUCCAUUUUCAGGUCUUCAAGGAAAUGUAAUCGGUGUCUUGUAUGUUUUGACAGAGACUUUUGCAUGUUAGCAAGAUGAUUAAAACUGCAUGUUGUAAAAAAUUCUUUAGUAGAGGUAGAAGAGUUCUGAUAGCAAACUUGAAAACAUCAUGGCUGGAAUCUAAUGGUAAAUAACUACAUAUAAACCAUAUAUACCGUGUGAAACAGUCACUUGGUGCAAACACCGACAUUUCAAACACGGAGAAUGUGCAUCUUUGAAAGUGAGUACUUUUAAGAGAGAAAAAAUGACACUUCGUUUAUAUAUGUAUUCACCGCUUUACAUUUUUCUUAACCAUAUGUCAUAAUUUUAUGCUGAACGUCUAAUGUUUGUAAGAUAAAUAAAAAUGUUUGAAUUUCAAACUACAUGUACUCAUAAUGAAAGUUAUGUUAUUAUUACUUCAAGAACAAAAUAUCAUGGCGUAAAUAUUUGAUGUGAGUGUAUUAAAAUGCAUGAAUGAAAUACACAUAAAAUGAUAUAAAACCCUGAUUAACAAAGACCUGCAAGAUUCUGAGAGCGGCCACUGCGUGCAUGAGUUCCGAAAUCCUAGAGAGUACUUUCAACUCGGGGAAAUUGUCCGUCCCCACAAGACCAAGGACCACAGGUGUGCUGCAUGACAGGUUAAUUCACUUUUAAUGUCGCUGCAUUCCUUUGUUUUUGUUUGUCAAGUUUCAUUAUUUGAAAUGGAUGCCGUUGAGUGAAUUUUGUUGUUGUCAUGUGGUUUCUAUAUUCCCAGUCGUUAUUAUUUUACGCAAUGGUCUCAAUAACAAAGAAUCGCUUCACAAUCCCGGGUUCUUUUAUGGUGUAAUUUUACGGUUAACAUCGAUCUAAAAAUUACCCUCUUCACAAUGUUAGACCAGGUCUGGAAGAGGCAAAAUUUCAAUCCUUCAAACGGGGCAAGGACUUGCUGGAAUUCUCCAUCAUUUGCUUGUAGAACUGAUCUUUCAGCAACAUCAACACGUCAUUUCAAAGACAAUGAUCUUUUUCAAACAUCACGCUGGAAAAGUCAAGUACUCUACCUCGUAGAUUCUACUAAUUAUUUUAGCAAAGUAUAACUUUCGAACAUGUAUUAUAUUCAAGAAAUAUCUAAUCUACAAAUAUCUUAAAAUCAAAGAAACUAAGACUAAAUAUACAGAAACAUAUGUUUUCUCCUUGUAUAAAUUUGUUAAAACUUGACAAUAUUUUCUUGCAGAACUAAAGCAGUUCAUACUUUACAUAAACCUUGUACUUAAUAAGUAGGACUUUUCUUCUCUAGAAUAAAGAAAUGAAUUCUCAUGAAUUACAAAUGGUUAAAAAUACAUGUAUUUCAUUGACAAUUGAGAACUAUGGUCUUAAAGAACAAAGACAAUAAUCUCGUCAAACUGAAGAAUUAUAUACAAAUUCUAGUUAUUCUUUGAUAUUACUAUCGUGAUGGACGUAGAACGCGCUGAAAGUGACAAGGUGGGGUGGUCAUUUACCGGAGACCAGGAUUUCAGGCUUCAUUAAAGCCACGUUAUUAAAAACACAAGACGUGAACGGAACAAGGUUUCGGUGAUGGUUUUGAAGCUUAUAAUUAUCGAUGACAAAUUACAACCAGGCGGAAUAUGGCGGCUUCAUUAGGAUGUCUCUGAUCUCUUUGUCUUGCAGAAAGGUUCUUGUGUAAGAGGAAAAAAAUAUUGGAAGUGGGAUUUGCUGACCACGACAAAUGAAGCAUAUUUUUUAUUAGACGAUCGAGGUUAUUUGUCCACCAAUACUGGAAAUUUUGCUGUAUUGUAAUUUGAUAUAUGGUAUCUAAUGCAUCGGAAAUUACUGUCUCCAUUGCUUGGGAAAAUAUCAUGCUCCUUCGGAAAGAAGACUAUCAAACAUGUUCAGAUGUACUGUCUGCUAAAAGAAGGAAAUACGUUUUCAAGAAAAGGAGUACUCUCCGUAUUCUGGGUGUUGUUUUUUUUAAAUACGAAAAAGAAAGAUAUCAAACUAUGAGUUCAUUCAUUCGUUGCAGAUGUUGCUAACCCUUCCAAACCUCCUAUUUACUUUUUUUUAUUAGAAUAUUGUUGAAAUAUGAUGGAGGCAUGCGAAAACGUUGCAAACAGCUGUCCGAGGAGCCCGAGUAAUGACCAUCUCGUUAUCGGGUCUAGACACCAGGUAUCCCUCGUCCUGCAGAAGAUGGUUGAUAAGUCCACGAAAAUCUGCGGCGGGUCACAUCAUUAGGAUGAGGAGGAAACCCCGUUAUCAGCGGAAGCUUAUCGCGGCAUCCAAAUAUUUACACCUUAUUUAUAAACUGACACUUGAAACAUCUGUUUUAAUUUUCAAUUGUGUGAAUGUAAAAUAUACACAUUUUGUUAUAACUGAAACGGCACGGAGAACCAAGUUCGAAGGUCCAUUGACCUUUGGUGAGUUCAAAGAGUUUAAGAUAUUUCCGAUACACGUACACAAAAUUAGAAUUUUGAAAUUAGGAUGUUUGGUUCUUCGUGUAUAUUCUUUUAAUUCAGACUUCCAAGACUGUUUUCCUUUAUUAAUUUAGACAUUGUCAGAUUCAAAACUUGUCACGUAUGCAGUUAUUUUCUCCAGAUUCUAAAUUAUUAAAAUACGCUACUGUAAAUUAGAUUGCGUUUUAUGCUGCAUUCAAAAUGCAACGUUAACCUUAUAUUUCUUUGUUUUGCAUCUUAAACGUCAUGAAAUAAAAAUGCAAAAAUGG